This 253-nucleotide ribosomal RNA is filed under the name uncultured bacterium. RNAcentral's name for it is "partial 16S ribosomal RNA". It matches the Rfam family "Bacterial small subunit ribosomal RNA", at positions 524 to 776 of the family's 1533-position model. The record is from RNAcentral.
UACGGAGGGUGCUAGCGUUAUUCGGAAUCACUGGGCGUAAAGCGCGUGUAGGCGGCCCACUAAGUCUGAUGUGAAAGCCCGGGGCUCACCCCCGGAAGUGCAUUGGAAACUGGUGGACUCGAGUCCCGGAGAGGAGAGUGGAAUUCCUGGUGUAGCGGUGAAAUGCGUAGAUAUCAGGAGGAACACCGGUGGCGAAGGCGGCAUCCUGGACCGAAAUUGACGCUGAGGCGCGAAAGCCAGGGGAGCAAACGGG